RNAcentral lists this ribosomal RNA (252 nucleotides) under uncultured bacterium. RNAcentral describes it as "partial 16S ribosomal RNA". It matches the Rfam family "Bacterial small subunit ribosomal RNA", at positions 524 to 776 of the family's 1533-position model. The record is from RNAcentral.
UACGUAGGGGGCAAGCGUUGUCCGGAAUCAUUGGGCGUAAAGAGCGUGUAGGCGGCCCGGUAAGUCCGCUGUGAAGUCCAGGGCUCAACCCUGGGAUGCCGGUGGAUACUGUCGGGCUCGAGUCCGGAAGAGGAGUGUGGAAUUCCUGGUGUAGCGGUGAAAUGCGCAGAUAUCAGGAGGAACACCAAUGGCGAAGGCAGCACUCUGGGACGUGACUGACGCUGAGACGCGAAAGCGUGGGGAGCAAACAGG